CCUACGGGAGGCAGCAGUGGGGAAUCUUGCGCAAUGGGCGAAAGCCUGACGCAGCCAUGCCGCGUGAAUGAUGAAGGUCUUAGGAUUGUAAAAUUCUUUCACCGAGGACGAUAAUGACGGUACUCGGAGAAGAAGCCCCGGCUAACUUCGUGCCAGCAGCCGCGGUAAUACGAAGGGGGCUAGCGUUGCUCGGAAUUACUGGGCGUAAAGGGAGCGUAGGCGGAUAGUUUAGUCAGAGGUGAAAGCCCAGGGCUCAACCUUGGAAUUGCCUUUGAUACUGGCUAUCUUGAGUACGGAAGAGGUAUGUGGAACUCCGAGUGUAGAGGUGAAAUUCGUAGAUAUUCGGAAGAACACCAGUGGCGAAGGCGACAUACUGGUCCGUUACUGACGCUGAGGCUCGAAAGCGUGGGGAGCAAACAGGAUUAGAUACCCUGGUAGUCCACGCUGUAAACGAUGAGUGCUAGUUGUCGGCGAUGCAUGCAUGUCGGUGGUACGCGAGCUAACGACAUUAAGUACACUCCGCCGUCGGGAGGUACGGUCGCGAGAAGUUAAACUACGAAGAAGUAGACGGCGUGAGACGUGCCGACGGACGACGACGAGGGAGGAGG
This 608-nucleotide ribosomal RNA is filed under the name uncultured bacterium. RNAcentral describes it as "bacterial SSU rRNA". The stretch from base 1 to 524 matches the Rfam family "Bacterial small subunit ribosomal RNA", at positions 338 to 873 of the family's 1533-position model. The record is from RNAcentral.